RNAcentral lists this small RNA (28 nucleotides) under Bombyx mori (domestic silkworm). RNAcentral describes it as "ovarian small RNA-22465". The record is from RNAcentral. Lineage: Eukaryota; Metazoa; Arthropoda; Insecta; Lepidoptera; Bombycidae.
UAGCUAAUACAAACAAAGUUGAUGGUUU